RNAcentral lists this unclassified non-coding RNA (405 nucleotides) under soil metagenome. RNAcentral describes it as "partial contains 5.8S ribosomal RNA, internal transcribed spacer 2, and large subunit ribosomal RNA". The stretch from base 1 to 122 matches the Rfam family "5.8S ribosomal RNA", at positions 35 to 154 of the family's 154-position model. The record is from RNAcentral.
GAUGAAGAAACGUAGCGAAAUGCGAUAAGUAAUGUGAAUUGCAGAAUUCAGUGAAUCAUCGAAUCUUUGAACGCACCUUGCGCCCUUUGGCUAUUCCGAAGGGCAUGCCUGUUUGAGUAUCAUGAACACCUCAACUCUCAUGGUUUGCCAUGAUGAGCUUGGACUUUGGGGGUCUUGCCGGCCUAUGGGUCGGCUCCUCUCAAAUUAAUCAGCUUGCCAGUGUUUGGUGGCAUCACAGGUGUGAUAACUAUCUACGCUUGUGGUUUUCCAUCAGGUAACCUUCAGUGAUGGAGGUUCGCUGGGGCUCAUAAAUGUCUCUCCUCAGUGAGGACAGCUUUUUUGAACGUUUGAUCUCAAAUCAGGUAGGACUACCCGCUGAACUUAAGCAUAUCAAUAAGCGGAGGA